Molecule: unclassified non-coding RNA, 301 nt
Filed under: uncultured fungus
Lineage: Eukaryota; Fungi
Description: partial contains small subunit ribosomal RNA, internal transcribed spacer 1, and 5.8S ribosomal RNA
Rfam family: Eukaryotic small subunit ribosomal RNA (bases 1-73)
Source: RNAcentral
GCAAACUUGGUCAUUUAGAGGAAGUAAAAGUCGUAACAAGGUUUCCGUAGGUGAACCUGCGGAAGGAUCAUUACCGAGUGAGGACCUAACCGGUCCAACCUCCCACCCGUGUCUAUCGUACCUUGUUGCUUCGGCGGGCCCGCCAUUCGUGGCCGCCGGGGGGCAUCUCGCCCCCGGGCCCGCGCCCGCCGGAGACACCAACACGAACACUGUCUGAAGGUUGCAGUCUGAGUCGAUUUAUUUAAUCGUUAAAACUUUCAACAACGGAUCUCUUGGUUCCGGCAUCGAUGAAGAACGCAGC